GUAACCUCAUCACUCGUUUCUGAACCGUUAGAUGUACUCUUUUUGCUACAACGUCUAUAUUAAGUAGAAGAUAAACAAUUAAAAGGACUUGUCUCUAGCUUUAUGAUGAAUGAUUUUGAAGUUCCUGUUAUUGUUUUCCUUUAUAAUCUUUUUGAUAGAGCUGCUCUUUUUUGUACGUCUCAAAUGAAGAAAAAAACAGCUUAAAAACGGCUGCAACUGAAAAGAGUAACUUAAAAAAGC
RNAcentral lists this unclassified non-coding RNA (240 nucleotides) under Hevea brasiliensis (rubber tree). Lineage: Eukaryota; Viridiplantae; Streptophyta; Magnoliopsida; Malpighiales; Euphorbiaceae. The record is from RNAcentral.